AAAAAGUCAAACCUGGUUUCCUACCAACGUUUGACUGUCCGUCUUAUAUAAUUUUUUUUUAUAAUUAGUAUUUUCAUUGUUGUUAGAUGAUAAAAUAUGAUUAAUGCUUUAUACGUGACUUAUCUUUUUAAUUUUUUCAUAAUUUUUUUAAAUAAGACGGACGGUCAAACGUUAGACACGAAAACUAGGGUUCGUCUUUUU
Molecule: microRNA precursor, 201 nt
Organism: Oryza sativa Japonica Group (Japanese rice)
Lineage: Eukaryota; Viridiplantae; Streptophyta; Magnoliopsida; Poales; Poaceae
Rfam family: MIR812 microRNA precursor family
Source: Rfam